CCAAGAGGAUCCCCUCUUCUGUUACACGUUCACUCAUGUGGAAGAGCUAGCAGACUCUCUAAAACAUUUUCCAAAAGACAUCCUUCACAAUUCAGCC
Neogale vison (American mink) is the source of this 97-nucleotide unclassified non-coding RNA. NCBI's taxonomy places the organism in Eukaryota, Metazoa, Chordata, Mammalia, Carnivora, Mustelidae. The record is from Ensembl.